UUCUGUAUGAGGUUUGCAAGAGUGAUAUGGUUAGGUUGUGGUUGGUGUUGAUGUUUGAGUUAGCUGGCCAUUCACGAGAAACGGAAUAUGUAGAGCCGUGGAUUGCCUGGGGUUGGUUAGGUUAGGUUAGGUUAGGUUAGUGGGUCUAGUGUAUGAGGUUUGUGAGAGUGAUAUGGUCAUGUUGUGGUUGGUGUUGAUGUUUGAGUUAGUUGGCCAUUCACGAGAGACGGAAUAUGUAGAUGAUAGUUGGAUAGACUGAUAGAUAGAUAGAUAAAUGGAGAAAUAAUAGAUCUUGUACGGGAAACGGAUAAUAUAUAUAAUAGAUAGAUGGAUAGUGACAAUGACUGAUAAGUAGAUAGAAAAAUAUAGUCAGAUUGAUAGACAGAAAGAAUAUGAAAAAGAUACAACGGAUAGACAGACAAGGAUAGAUAUAUCGAUAGUUAAACCGAUUGAUGGAAAAAAGGAAAAAAAAGAAGAAACUGGCGAAUGAAUAGACAUAGAUAGAUAAAGUUAGAUAAUCAGAUAGAUACAGAAACAUAAUAUAAAAUGGUGAAUAGACGCAAAUAUAGAUAGACAGAAAGACAGACAAGCAAAUAUACAGAUUACUAGACAGAAAAAAAAAUAGAAAAGAAAAACAACGACAUGAAGAGUGGCUAUUCACUGAUCUCUAAAGAAAACGAAUCAAAUUUUUUUUCGGGAGAACUCUUGGGAAAAAAAAAUUUGCGACAGUCAUAUAACAGAGGGAAUAUGUCUGUUGAACAAUAUUUCCUUCCGAUUCUUUCUUUUUUUCUUUUUCUCUUUUUCUCUCUUUUGCGUUUUCACAUUUACAUUCACAUCCACAUACAUCACAUUCACAUACAUUUCACAUUUACAUUCACAUCCGAUUCUUUCUUUCUUUCUUUGUCUCUUUCUUUCCCUCUUUUUCUCCUUUUCUCUCUUAUGCGUUUUCACAUUUACAUUUUUUUUUGCACGUUAGACACAACAACAAACAGUAUCUUCACAUCUAUCUUUACCACCAUCUCUCUCUCUCUCUCUCUCUCUCUCUCUCUCUCUCUCUCUCUCUCUCUCUCUCUCUCUCUCUCUCUCUCAUUUAAUAGAAGACAUUUUUAUUAUGUUUACGCAACACAACGACACACUUCCUUGAUUAUUAUUUAAACGUGGAGUGUUUGAGCCUCGGGGCGACUAAAGAACAAAGCGACCCCGACUAAGUCAUUUUCAAACUAAACAACAACAUAUUUCAACAAAGCAACCUGAACCGACUUGAGUAAGGAACACUAAAGACACAAUAAACACACUAGCAAAGCAAAACAACAACGCAUCUAAUAUUAAAAAUCAAAUAUAGAACAGACACCCUUGAAAAAAAAAAUCCAAUUCGUCCCUCAGAACAUGAAACAAUAUGAAAACGACCUUAAACAUACUCCAGACAAAGUUUCGCCGUACAUCGUCUCUUAGCCUUUCGCUCAUUCCCUAUCUCUGUCACUCAUGCCUUUUCCGAUACUUUUUUUUCGGAGAACGUGCACGAUAUUAACCGGACAACCUUAGAUACAGUUAGUAGUGUCCAUCCUUUCUUAACUUUUCGCUCAUCCUCAUCUCCAUCGCUCACCAAUUCUCCGAUAUUUUUUGGAGGAAGUGUACGAUGUUAAACGACACAUCAGCUCCAGGGAACAGGACGUAAUAGCACCUGUUUAUCACACGCUCUUUUGUUCGUUAGUGCAACAGCCUUUAGGUCCAUCCGGGUCGCAUAUUCCCGAUUUAGGUUGGGUUAAGGUUAGGUUAGGUUAGUAAAUGUUAGCUUAGGUUAGGUUAGGUUAGUAAAUGUUAGGUUAGGUUAGGUUAGGUUAGUAAAUGUUAGCUUAGGUUAGGUUAGGUUAGUAAAUGUUAGCUUAGGUUAGGUUAGGUUAGUAAAUGUUAGGUUAGGUUAGGUUAGGUUAGUAAAUGUUAGCUUAGGUUAGGUUAGGUUAGUAAAUGUUAGGUUAGGUUAGGUUAGGUUAGUAAAUGUUAGGUUAGGUUAGGUUAGGUUAGUAAAUGUUAGCUUAGGUUAGGUUAGGUUAGUAAAUGUUAGCUUAGGUUAGGUUAGGUUUGUAAAUGUUAGGUUAGGUUAGGCUAGGUUAAGUUAGGUUGGGUUAGUUAAGGUUAGGUUAGGUUAGUAAAGGUUAAGUGAGGAAAGGUAAACCGAGUGCUUUUUGUCGGGAAAUCCGCUGGGAAUAAUUAGAAGAGGAUUACACGUCACACACGGCUUCGCGGCUCAAGAAGGGGACAAUCACGCAGACACUUCAGGGAUAGGCGAAUACGCGAGUUCGAUUCCCACACACACCAAUAGGAAAGAGAUGACUGACAACCAUAAUCUCAUCACCUAUGCACCACUGAGCAGAGGAUGACUGAUAACCGAAAUUUCUGAGCCUACUUUUUAUUACAGCAAGGGAGGCAGAUCAACGGCAACAAGAUAUCAGGACACCUCUCCACCCGAAACUGACCCCUCUUUCGGCCACCUCCUUGGAUUCUCUUUAGGAGCAGCGAGUAGCGGGCAUUUUUUUUUUUAUUAUUGUUUCCUUUUUUUGUGCCCUUGAGCUGUCUCCUUUGUUGUAAAAAAAACAACUAACCAACAAAUAAAUAAACAAACAAAAAAGGUCGAUAUGCGUUGCUCCGGAAAUAGAAAACAGGGCCUACAGGUUUCCCAAGGUACUCCAUUAUCAAAGAAAUCACGGAAAAGUACCUGCUCUUCCUUGCCCUUCCUCUCGCCU
Molecule: long non-coding RNA, 2741 nt
Organism: Eriocheir sinensis (Chinese mitten crab)
Lineage: Eukaryota; Metazoa; Arthropoda; Malacostraca; Decapoda; Varunidae
Exons: 3
Source: RefSeq, a predicted model, not a curated record